Molecule: ribosomal RNA, 497 nt
Filed under: uncultured bacterium
Lineage: Bacteria
Description: partial 16S ribosomal RNA
Rfam family: Bacterial small subunit ribosomal RNA
Source: RNAcentral
GAUGAACGCUGGCGGCGUGCCUAAUACAUGCAAGUCGAGCGAACGGACGAGAAGCUUGCUUCUCUCAUGUUAGCGGCGGACGGGUGAGUAACACGUGUAUAACCUACCUAUAAGACUGGGAUAACUUCGGGAAACCGGAGCUAAUACCGGAUAAUAUUUUGAACCGCAUGGUUCAAAAGUGAAAGACGGUCUUGCGGUCACUUAUAGAUGGAUCCGGGCUGCAUUGGGUAGUUGGUAAGGUAACGGCCUACCAAGGCAACGAUGCGUAGCCGACCUGAGAGGGUGAUCGGCGACACUGGAGCGGAGACGCGGUCCAUGCUCCUACGGGAGGCAGCAGAAGCGAAUCGGCCGCAAUAGGCGGAAGCCUGACGGAGCAGCGCGACGUGAGUGAUGGCAGUCUUCGGAUCGUGAUACUCUGUUUUGGGGGAAGAACAUAUGUGUAAGGAACUGAGCACAGCGUGACGGUACCUGAUCAGGAAGCAACGGCUAACUACGUG